This 425-nucleotide ribosomal RNA is filed under the name uncultured bacterium. RNAcentral's name for it is "partial 16S ribosomal RNA". It matches the Rfam family "Bacterial small subunit ribosomal RNA", at positions 354 to 796 of the family's 1533-position model. The record is from RNAcentral.
GUGGGGAAUCUUAGACAAUGGGGGCAACCCUGAUCUAGCCAUGCCGCGUGAGUGAUGAAGGCCUUAGGGUUGUAAAGCUCUUUCAGUGGGGAAGAUAAUGACGGUACCCACAGAAGAAGCCCCGGCUAACUCCGUGCCAGCAGCCGCGGUAAUACGGAGGGGGCUAGCGUUGUUCGGAAUUACUGGGCGUAAAGCGCACGUAGGCGGAUCGGAAAGUUGGGGGUGAAAUCCCAGGGCUCAACCCUGGAACUGCCUUCAAAACUAUCGGUCUGGAGUCCGAGAGAGGUGAGUGGAAUUCCGAGUGUAGAGGUGAAAUUCGUAGAUAUUCGGAAGAACACCAGUGGCGAAGGCGACUCACUGGCCCAAUACUGACGCUGAGGCGCGAAAGCGUGGGGAGCAAACAGGAUUAGAAACCCCGGUAGUCC